This 86-nucleotide non-coding RNA is filed under the name unclassified sequences. The record is from RNAcentral.
GCGCAAGUAUCGCCGGAUAUUUGCAUCAAAGUGUUAAUAAUCAUCUCUUAGGCCUUAGACAGAGAUGAUUGUUGGCACUUUUUUAU